UCCUCAGAGACUACGCUCUGCUCACACUGCCUGCUGAGUUCUCCAGCCAGCUGCCCCUGACGGUGGUGCCUUCUACACCCCAGAGACCAUCGACACAGCCCGUCUCCAUUACCGUGGCUCCUGGGCCCCCGUUCUCCACGCUGUGGCCCUCUGGCUGAGCAGCACCAGCUUUGGGGAGGGGGAAGAAGAGGCCCCUGCUGUCCCUCCACAGGCUUCUGGGGCACCAGUCUACCCACAGGGUAACCCUGGACCUACUCAGAGCCUGGAGGAUCUGAUUAAGGACAGAAUGCAUCUGAUGUUGGGUGUCAGUAUUGAGUUCCUGUGUUUCCCAAGACCUGAGGAACCAAUAGAACAUGUCAUGUCAUGUCUACAGGCUCUCUGUACCCUACUGGACUCUCC
Non-coding RNA from Oncorhynchus mykiss (rainbow trout), 399 nucleotides. The record is from RefSeq and is a predicted model, not a curated record. NCBI's taxonomy places the organism in Eukaryota, Metazoa, Chordata, Actinopteri, Salmoniformes, Salmonidae.